Molecule: transfer RNA, 67 nt
Filed under: bovine gut metagenome
Rfam family: tRNA
About the family: Transfer RNA (tRNA) molecules are approximately 80 nucleotides in length. Their secondary structure includes four short double-helical elements and three loops (D, anti-codon, and T loops). Further hydrogen bonds mediate the characteristic L-shaped molecular structure. tRNAs have two regions of fundamental functional importance: the anti-codon, which is responsible for specific mRNA codon recognition, and the 3' end, to which the tRNAs corresponding amino acid is attached (by aminoacyl-tRNA synthetases). tRNAs cope with the degeneracy of the genetic code in two manners: having more than one tRNA (with a specific anti-codon) for a particular amino acid; and 'wobble' base-pairing, i.e. permitting non-standard base-pairing at the 3rd anti-codon position.
Source: RNAcentral
CCGUAGCUCAAUGGUCAGAGCAGGGGACUCAUAAUCCCUUGGUUGCAGGUUCGAUUCCUGCCGGGCC